This is a long non-coding RNA of Numida meleagris (helmeted guineafowl), 867 nucleotides long. RefSeq lists it as uncharacterized. The transcript is spliced from 3 exons. The record is from RefSeq and is a predicted model, not a curated record. NCBI's taxonomy places the organism in Eukaryota, Metazoa, Chordata, Aves, Galliformes, Numididae.
CUCAGAGCUGCAGCCAUGGUGGAGCUCUUGGCUUCACACAGUAGCCACUGGACUUACUGUGUUACACUUGGGGAGAGACCAUUCAGGAGUUCAUAAUAGAGAAGAGAAGUCAGAGAAGACGUGGGAGAGAAAAGGAUCCUGAAGAGAGAAGGAAGAAACCUCCUGGGAAAAAGGAGCUACGCUGCAAUGAUGAGGGAGCAGACCUGUCCCCAGAGCGAAAGGGUGAUGACCGUGACUCAGAAUGUUCAUGGAAAGGGAACAGAAGCAGCAAUGAGCCCUGAGAGUAUGGAUUUCUUGUCUAGGAGGUGACAUGAAUACAAGGCCUUGAUUUCAGGUGUGCAUUUGUGUCAAAGGGAGGAUUAUGAAGACCGUCUUCCACGUUCUGCACCUAGCAGAGCUGUGCCAAAAAGAUGGUAACCACCACUAUGAAAUGUCUCAGUAGGUGAGCAUGCACAUAAGUUCUGUGCCAAAUGUGCUUUGAAAUGUUCCCAAAACACUGGAGUGGUGGUCUGUGAUGAAAACAUAUCUCAGCCUUGCAUCUAAUGAUCAGCUAGGAUCCACUACAUCUGUUCCCUUUUCUCUCCGUAUCUGCCCUUUGCCAGCAGAGCACAUGCCUGUUUCUGGUUUGAGAUUGCUUUUUUGGGUCACUGAAGCAUGCUUGGUGAUGGCAGUGAGAAGCGGUGGCUCCUUUAGUACUUUCCUCACCUAAGCACUCUGUGCUGAAAAGCCAUCUUCAAACCGCAGGGCACCCAGCAGCAUCAGGAGAGAAAGUUCCCACCGCUGAUACUGCACAGGCACAGUUGGAUGGCAAUCCCUCCCUCAACAGUUUACAACUUGACUAAAUGCAAAAGUAAUCCACAGGCUUGU